Molecule: long non-coding RNA, 3145 nt
Filed under: Capra hircus (goat)
Lineage: Eukaryota; Metazoa; Chordata; Mammalia; Artiodactyla; Bovidae
Description: lncRNA (ENSCHIG00010027547.1)
Source: RNAcentral
AUGUUGGGGCCUCUCUGACAGUAGACACAGUAAUCGUCCCCUAGCUUCCAAUCCCCUUGUCAGUGAGCAAAAACAAUCUUUCUGCAACUGCUGAAGGUAUUGGUGACAUUGGAGGUUAAAUAUUCCUACUAUAUCAUGGCUGGCAUUUUUAUUGUCACAAGAGCAAUGGAUGUCAGGAGUUCAGGACUUAAGAUGGAGUUUAUCUCAUGACAGAGGAAAUGCUGAGUCCACUGGCGUCUGGAAUCGGGUGGCCAAAGGUGCAUUGAGGACGGAAACACUGUGAUCACAGGGAAUGAGUUCAGCUGACCUGAUUAUUUCUUUUUAUAACGAUGACAGCUUAGAACAUAUCGAUUGAGGUGAUCAGCAUUUAGGUCUUUCAUAGUUAGUAAGGAACUGUUCAAUUUAUAUUGGAAACCAUCACUAUCCAGGGCCUUUAAUGAGGUAUGUGGUACCCAGGAGAGGAGGACAGUUAACAUCACAGAAGUGGGUGCAGGACCAAGAGAGGAAAAAUGCUCCUUUUUUAGGCCAUCAAAUCACUUUCCUCUGCCCUGCUCAGUGGUUUGUAGGCCCUUUGGCAAGUUCCUUAGCCUCUUGUAACCUCAGUUUCUUCUUCUGUAAAAUGGGCUAGUCGUGCCAUUAUCUCCAGGAGUAGUUUAUGGUUUGUGAGGAUUAAAAGUGAUAAUGUGUGUGCAGUAAAUAUUUUCAGGAAAUGUUGCUCACUGUUAAUUCAGGUGAUGGUGUUGGUGCUUCCGAAGGCCAUUUGAAAUGGGAACAUCGUAGGCUCAUUUCAGUAUGACUGGGGGCUUUCUGAAGAAAAUGGCCUGAAUGAAGAGUUGCCGCAGGGUGUUCUGGCUCCUUGACUUGUCACUUCAUCUUCAGGCAGUGCAGGUUUAACCAAAAGAUAAUGCGUUUUCCUUGAAAAAGUGUUUGACACUUGACCUAACUCAUGGGAGCAUGUGCUAAUUUUAUCAUUAAUCAGAGAAUUCUGUCCAUUUCUGUAUGUAUUGCUGUAGAGUGGACUUCAAGUUAUCUGCACAAUUAUCCAGUUCUGUGUUACCUGAGAGGGUAGGGGCCUUUGUCAGUCUCUUCCUGCUGUGUCCUCAGCACCUAGAAUAGCUCCUGCACAUAGUAGGUGCUCAAUAAAUAUUGGUUGAAUCAAUGAAAUAAUAUGUCUGUAGGGGUUUAAUAUUUCCUCUGGGAAAGGCCAUAUCCCAGAGAAAUGGAAACUUAAGUUCACACAAAAACCUGUACAUAAAUGUUCACAGCAUCAGUAUUCGUAAUAGCCCCAAAGUGAAAGUAACCCAGAUAUUCUUCAGCUGGUCAGUGGUUGAACAAAUUAUGGUGGAUCCAUACCAUGGAACACUACUCAGCAAUAAAAUACACCAGACACGGUACACUAACAACUUGGAUAAAUCUUGAAGGAAUUAUGCUGAGUAAAAAAAGCCAGUCUCAAAAAAGAUGACAUACUAGAUGAUUCCAUUUAUAUAGCAUUCUUGAGAAGACAGAAAUGGAUAACAGGCUAGGGCUGGGAGCAGGGAGGGAAGUAGGUGUGAUUAUAAAAGGGCAGUGUGAGGGCCCCUUAUGGUGAUAGAAAUGUUGUGUAUGUUGCCUGUAUCAGUGUCAGUGUCUUAGUCAUGGUUUUGUAUUGUUACUUUGUGAGUUAUUACCAAGGGAAAAAGUGGGUGAAAGGUAUGGGAGAUCUCUCUGCAUUCUUUGUUACAGCUGCAUUAAUCUACAAUUAUCUCACAAUAAGAAGUUCAGUAUUAAAAAAUGAGGGACUGAAAGCCCUUCAUUAAUCAUGAGAGAUACAAUGGGCUGAACCCUUAUUCUGUGAUAUAUUAACUCAGGUUUACACAGCAGCCUCAUGAAGUAGACGGAUGUGACGUCACCAUUUUAUGGGGAGGAAAACAAGCUCAGAGAGGUUAGGGGACUUGUCUGAAGACUCACAGCUGGCAGGUGGUGGAGGUGAGACACAAAACCUGGGAGUGUCUGGCCCCAAACCCUGAUUUUUUUCCUCUAGACAUGCAUCGCUGAGUCUCUGCUCUUUGGAUGCUGGCAGAGCCAGGAAGCUCGCUUCCUUCAUGCAGUCACCUGACGUCUGACCCUUAGGUGGGCACCUCAGGUGACUGCUAAAGUGACUGACAACUUGGUAGGGGAGAGNNNNNNNNNNNNNNNNNNNNNNNNNNNNNNNNNNNNNNNNNNNNNNNNNNNNNNNNNNNNNNNNNNNNNNNNNNNNNNNNNNNNNNNNNNNNNNNNNNNCUAAAGUGACUGACAACUUGGUAGGGGAGAGGUGGCUGAGAGUAAGCCUAGGCUUCCCACCUGGCUGCUCCUAAGUGACCUGCUGACCUCAGAAGUCACGACCCCCUCCCCUCCCCACUCCUUUGGCUUAUGCGAGGGUGUUGAAGUAUUGGUUUCAUUAUACCCAUUUUACAGGUGGGGAGACUGAGGCACAGGAUGGAAAAGGAACUGGGGUUGUUCCAGGUGGAGGUGUGGUCCUUGGUCCUUUCCACCUCUAGCAUUCUGUGGUGGUAAUUAUAGUUCCUUUGACUUGUCUUACCCAGCUGCUGUUUUCAGGGCAAUGUGGCACAGGUUCUGCAGUGAAGUGCGUGGCUCUGAGAUGGAGUCCUUGCCCUACAAAUCUCCAGACUGUGGCCUGGGGCGAGUGAUUUCUCUUUUCUAAGCCUCACUUUCCUCAUCUGAGAAAUGAGGAUAAUGAGGACUAAGUAAGAAAACUGAUAACACUUGGCAGGAAACAAACAUCGCUGCCAACAUCUGAGGUCUGAUUGGAAACUCUUACCUAACUGCCCUGAUGUUCAGAGCUCUGAGCAGAGUACGUUGAAAGGAGCAAAGCCCCUUCCGAGUUAUAUGCCCUGACAUGGCUUCUUGGGGCACGUGAUCUCCUGUGCUCAAGUUCUGCUUAGCUCUUGGUUUCCUGAGCAGGAUGGUGUGUGCUGUAAUAGAGGACAUCCAGAGGGGCUGGGAGGCUUUCUGCCACAGAUAGCACCUAAACUGAGAGCUGAAAGAUGACUAGGCUUUGCUGGGUGAGUGGGAGGCAGAGGACAGAGGGACAUUCCAGGGAGAGGGAACAGUGGGUGCAAAGGCUCAGAGGUUAGAGCAGAUGCAUUUGGGAAAGUAACCAGGAUGG